This 515-nucleotide ribosomal RNA is filed under the name uncultured bacterium. RNAcentral's name for it is "partial 16S ribosomal RNA". It matches the Rfam family "Bacterial small subunit ribosomal RNA", at positions 28 to 523 of the family's 1533-position model. The record is from RNAcentral.
GAUGAACGCUGGCGGCGUGCCUAAUACAUGCAAGUCGAGCGAAUGGAUUGAGAGCUUGCUCUUAUGAAGUUAGCGGCGGACGGGUGAGUAACACGUGGGUAACCUGCCCAUAAGACUGGGAUAACUCCGGGAAACCGGGGCUAAUACCGGAUAACAUUUUGAACCGCAUGGUUCGAAAUUGAAAGGCGGCUUCGGCUGUCACUUAUGGAUGGACCCGCGUCGCAUUAGCUAGUUGGUGAGGUAACGGCUCACCAAGGCAACGAUGCGUAGCCGACCUGCGAGGGUGAGCGGCCACACUGGGACUGAGACACGGCCCAGACUCCUACGGGAGGCAGAAGUAGGGAAUCUUCCGAAAUGGACGAAAGUCUGACGGAGCAACGCCGCGUGAGUGAUGAAGGCUUUCGGGUCGUAAAACUCUGUUGUUAGGGAAGAACAAGUGCUAGUUGAAUAAGCUGGCACCUUGACGGUACCUAACCAGAAAGCCACGGCUAACUACGUGCCAGCCGCCGCAGUAA